UACGGGGGGGGCAAGCGUUGUUCGGAAUUACUGGGCGUAAAGGGCUCGUAGGUGGCCAACUAAGUCAGACGUGAAAUCCCCCGGCUCAACCGGGGAAGGGGCGCCGAUACGACCGGCCUGGAGGAACGUAGGGGGAGCUGGAACUUCCGGUGGAGCGGUGAAAUGCGUUGAGAUCGGAAGGAACGCCCGUGGCGAAAGCGAGCUCCUGGACGUUUUCUGACGCUGAGACGCGAAAGCCAGGGGAGCGAACGGG
This 253-nucleotide ribosomal RNA is filed under the name uncultured bacterium. RNAcentral describes it as "partial 16S ribosomal RNA". It matches the Rfam family "Bacterial small subunit ribosomal RNA", at positions 524 to 776 of the family's 1533-position model. The record is from RNAcentral.